This 565-nucleotide ribosomal RNA is filed under the name uncultured Gammaproteobacteria bacterium. RNAcentral's name for it is "bacterial SSU rRNA". It matches the Rfam family "Bacterial small subunit ribosomal RNA", at positions 357 to 912 of the family's 1533-position model. The record is from RNAcentral. Lineage: Bacteria; Pseudomonadati; Pseudomonadota; Gammaproteobacteria.
GCGAAUUUUUCACAAUGGGCGCAAGCCUGAUGAAGCCACGCCGUGUGUGGGAUGAAGGCUCUCUGAGUUGUAAACCACUGUCAGGUGAGGGGAAACGCGUAGUGUUAACAGCAUUACGUUUGACUGCUCGCCAAAGGAAGCCCCGGCAAAACAUGUGCCAGCAGCCGCGGUAAUACAUGUGGGGCAAGCGUUGUUCGGAAUUACUGGGCAUAAAGGGUGCGUAGGUGGCUUGUUAAGUCAGGGGUGAAAUCCCACGGCCCAACCGUGGAACUGCCUUUGAUACUGGCGAGCUUGAGUGCGUGAGGGGUGAUCGGAACGAGUAGUGUAGCGGUGAAAUGCGUAGAUAUUACUCGGAAGGCCAACGGCGAAGGCAGAUCACUGGUACGCAACUGACACUGAGGCACGAAAGCGUGGGGGAGCAAACAGGAUUAGAUACCCCCGGUAGUCCACGCCGUAAACGAUGAACACUAGGUGUGGGUGGUGUGAAAACUAUCUGUGCCGAAGCCAACGCGUUAAGUGUUCCGCCUGGGGAGUACGGUCGCAAGGCUGAAACUCAAAGGAAUUG